RNAcentral lists this ribosomal RNA (284 nucleotides) under Alloprevotella rava. RNAcentral's name for it is "partial 16S ribosomal RNA". It matches the Rfam family "Bacterial small subunit ribosomal RNA", at positions 493 to 776 of the family's 1533-position model. Lineage: Bacteria; Pseudomonadati; Bacteroidota; Bacteroidia; Bacteroidales; Prevotellaceae. The record is from RNAcentral.
UCUUUUCCUUUUGUUCCAGCCGCCGCGGUAAUACGGAAGGUCCAGGCGUUAUCCGGAUUUAUUGGGUUUAAAGGGAGCGCAGGCGGCGGCGUAAGUCAGUUGUGAAAUCGUGCGGCUUAACCGUGCAAUUGCAGUUGAUACUGCGUCGCUUGAGUGCACACAGGGAUGUUGGAAUUCAUGGUGUAGCGGUGAAAUGCUUAGAUAUCAUGAAGAACUCCGAUCGCGAAGGCAUAUGUCCGGAGUGCAACUGACGCUGAGGCUCGAAAGUGUGGGUAUCAAACAGG